RNAcentral lists this ribosomal RNA (496 nucleotides) under uncultured bacterium. RNAcentral describes it as "partial 16S ribosomal RNA". It matches the Rfam family "Bacterial small subunit ribosomal RNA", at positions 28 to 507 of the family's 1533-position model. The record is from RNAcentral.
GAUGAACGCUGGCGGCGUGCCUAAUACAUGCAAGUCGAGCGAACAGACGAGGAGCUUGCUCCUCUGACGUAAGCGGCGGACGGGUGAGUAACACGUGGAUAACCUACCUAUAAGACUGGGAUACUUCUGGAAACCGGAGCUAAUACCGGAUAAUAUAUUGAACCGCAUGGUUCAAUAGUGAAAGACGGUUUUGCUGUCACUUAUAGAUGUAUCCGCGCCGCAUUAGCUAGUUGGUAAGGUAACUGCUUACCAAGGCAACGAUGCGUAGCCGAGCUGAGAGGGUGGUCCGCCACACUGGAACUGAGACACGGUCCAGACUCCUACGGGAGGCCGCAGUAGGGAAUCUUACGCGAUGGGCGAAAGCCUGACGGAGCAACGCCGCGUGAGUGAUGAAGGUCUUCGGAUCGUAAAACUCUGUUAUUAGGAAAGAACAAAUGUGUAAGUAACUAUGCACGUCUUGACGGUACCUACUCAGAAAGCCCCGGCUAACUACGUG